Molecule: ribosomal RNA, 874 nt
Filed under: uncultured archaeon
Lineage: Archaea
Description: bacterial SSU rRNA
Rfam family: Archaeal small subunit ribosomal RNA
Source: RNAcentral
CUGGUUGAUGAUCCUGCCGGACCCGACUGCUAUUUGGGUGAGGAUAAGCCAUGCGAGUUGUAUGGGAUACCUAAAUUUCCCAUGGCAAACUGCUCAGUAACACAUGAUCAACUUGCCCUAUAGAGAAAAAUAAUCUCGGGAAACUGAGAAUAAUGUUUCAUAGUUGAAAAGGCUUGGAAAAGUUUUUCAAUAAAAUGGAUAAUGAAAAUGGUCUUUAUCUGCUAUAGGAUAGGAUCGUGUUCGAUUAUGGUUGUUGGUGAGGUAAUGGCUCACCAAGCCGAUAAUCGAUAGGGGCCGUGAGAGCGGAAGCCCCGAGAUGGGUACUGAGACAGCGACCCAGGCCUUACGAGGCGCAGCAGGCGCGAAACCUCCACAAUACACGAAAGUGUGAUGGGGUUACCCAAAGUGUUCUAUUAAGAACUGUGGUAGGUGAGUAAUGUUCCCUACUAGAAAGGAGAGGGCAAGGCUGGUGCCAGCCGCCGCGGCAAAACCAGCUCUUCAAGUGGUCGGGAUAAUUAUUGGGCUUAAAGUGUCCGUAGCCGGUUUAGUAAGUUCCUGGUAAAAUCGGGUAGCUUAACUAUCUGCAUGCUAGGAAUACUGCUAUACUAGAGGGCGGGAGAGGUCUGAGGUACUACAGGGGUAGGGGUGAAAUCUUAUAAUCCUUGUAGGACCACCAGUGGCGAAGGCGUCAGACUGGAACGCGCCUGACGGUGAGGGACGAAAGCCAGGGGAGCGAACCGGAUUAGAUACCCGGGUAGUCCUGGCCGUAAACGAUGCAUACUAGGUGAUGGCACGGCCAUGAGCCAUGUCAGUGCCGUAGGGAAACCGUUAAGUGUGCCGCCUGGGAAGUACGGUCGCAAGGCUAAAACUUAAA